Molecule: long non-coding RNA, 967 nt
Filed under: Theobroma cacao (cacao)
Lineage: Eukaryota; Viridiplantae; Streptophyta; Magnoliopsida; Malvales; Malvaceae
Description: long non-coding RNA (TCAC_LNC001588)
Source: RNAcentral
UCUAAAGGCGAGUAAAUGGAGACGAAUUAAAAUAUUUUUUUUCCAAUAUAUGUUUCAUAACAUGAAUAUUCAGUUUACUCAAUUAAUCAACAUGGCUUAUAUAUGUCACAAAACUUGGCUCUUGACAAAAUCAUUCUCGCGGGUACCUUUGUCAAGAUAUCCCACUGAGAUCGCCAAGGCUGUUAAAAAUUCAUAUAUCACAUAAAACACAUUUUUCAUUGAGCAUCACAGCCGUUCCUUGGCGUUGGUUGAGUCUCACUCUCACUUGGUGGUUAACGAGAAGUGCACUCAAAAAGCCCACCUCAGGAGAUACCCUACGCGCCUCUACGACCGAGGUGAGAAUAUAAAGGAGUUUACCGUGCCCCUCUAAUAAGCUGGUCCACGGAACCCCCCACCACUGCAGUAGCUAAUCUUUAAUCCACCAAUUGAUCAAAUCUCAAGGGCAUAGCAUGGUAAUUACAUUACUAACCAAUUUAUCAAAGCAAAACAGACAGUUCAUAUUUUUCAACACAAGUAUAAAUUCAAUCAAUCAUGCCAAUUUAUCACAAGCCAUUUAAUAUAAAACCAUAAAUUUACAACACAAGCAGGCAGUCUCCAAUUACUCUAUUUUCAAAAUCAGUAUUCAAUUUUUCAGAAAAUUUAUAAAAUCAUAAUUUCUCCUAAAACAUAGCAAUUUAUCAUUUAAACCCAUUUUCCAUAAAAUCACACAAUUGUAUAAAACUACUCUAGAUAAUUAAGACGAUAAUAAGUUCACUCACUAUUCUAGGAGUCGAUAUACUCCCAACCCUAGUCUUCAAGCACAAUCCUUGUACUUUUACCAGUGUAAUUUGCUCACUACCUUUGAUUGCUUGAUUCCUUGAAAUCCCACACUUUUUCUUCAAUUUUCCCACCUAGGUUUUUGUUCUUUCUUUGUUCUUCUUCACUUCAUGUGGUGGCCGGCCAAAAUGAAGAAAUAAGCUGAUUUUUG